This 253-nucleotide ribosomal RNA is filed under the name uncultured bacterium. RNAcentral describes it as "partial 16S ribosomal RNA". It matches the Rfam family "Bacterial small subunit ribosomal RNA", at positions 524 to 776 of the family's 1533-position model. The record is from RNAcentral.
UACAGAGGGUGCGAGCGUUACUCGGAAUUACUGGGCGUAAAGGGCGUGUAGGCGGCUACGUGCGUCAGAUGUGAAAUCCCUGGGCUUAACCUAGGAACUGCAUUUGAUACGGCGUAGCUAGAGAUGGAUAGAGGGUAGUGGAAUUGCGAGUGUAGAGGUGAAAUUCGUAGAUAUUCGCAGGAACACCAGUGGCGAAGGCGGCUACCUGGGUCCAUACUGACGCUGAGGCGCGAAAGCGUGGGGAGCAAACAGG